AUGAGUAGGGCGGGACACGUGGUAUCCUGUCUGAAUAUGGGGGGACCAUCCUCCAAGGCUAAAUACUCCUGACUGACCGAUAGUGAACCAGUACCGUGAGGGAAAGGCGAAAAGAACCCCGGCGAGGGGAGUGAAAAAGAACCUGAAACCGUGUACGUACAAGCAGUGGGAGCACAGGUUUACCUGUGUGACUGCGUACCUUUUGUAUAAUGGGUCAGCGACUUAUAUUCUGUAGCAAGGUUAACCGUAUAGGGGAGCCGUAGGGAAACCGAGUCUUAACCGGGCGUUAAGUUGCAGGGUAUAGACCCGAAACCCGGUGAUCUAGCCAUGGGCAGGUUGAAGGUUGGGUAACACUAACUGGAGGACCGAACCGACUAAUGUUGAAAAAUUAGCGGAUGACCUGUGGCUGGGGGUGAAAGGCCAAUCAAACCGGGAGAUAGCUGGUUCUCCCCGAAAGCUAUUUAGGUAGCGCCUCGUGAAUUCAUCUCCGGGGGUAGAGCACUGUUUCGGCUAGGGGGCCAUCCCGGCUUACCAACCCGAUGCAAACUGCGAAUACCGGAGAAUGUUAUCACGGGAGACACACGGCGGGUGCUAACGUCCGUCGUGAAGAGGGAAACAACCCAGACCGCCAGCUAAGGUCCCAAAGUCAUGGUUAAGUGGGAAACGAUGUGGGAAGGCCCAGACAGCCAGGAUGUUGGCUUAGAAGCAGCCAUCAUUUAAAGAAAGCGUAAUAGCUCACUGGUCGAGUCGGCCUGCGCGGAAGAUGUAACGGGGCUAAACCAUGCACCGAAGCUGCGGCAGCGACGCUUAUGCGUUGUUGGGUAGGGGAGCG
Molecule: ribosomal RNA, 832 nt
Filed under: Salmonella enterica
Lineage: Bacteria; Pseudomonadati; Pseudomonadota; Gammaproteobacteria; Enterobacterales; Enterobacteriaceae
Description: partial 23S ribosomal RNA
Rfam family: Bacterial large subunit ribosomal RNA
Source: RNAcentral